This 371-nucleotide ribosomal RNA is filed under the name uncultured bacterium. RNAcentral describes it as "bacterial SSU rRNA". It matches the Rfam family "Bacterial small subunit ribosomal RNA", at positions 527 to 896 of the family's 1533-position model. The record is from RNAcentral.
GUAGGUGGCAAGCGUUAUCCGGAUUUACUGGGUGUAAAGCGUGUGCAGGCGGUCGAGUAAGUAGCGCGUGAAAGCGCCCGGCUCAACCGGGCGAGGACGUGCUGUACUGCACGACUGGAGAUGGGUAGAGGCGAGUGGAAUUCCGGGUGUAGUGGUGAAAUGCGUAGAUAUCCGGAGGAACACCAGAGGCGAAGGCGACUCGCUGGGCCCGUUCUGACGCUCAGACACGACAGCAUGGGGAGCGAACGGGAUUAGAAACCCCGGUAGUCCAUGCCGUAAACGAUGCAGACUAGGUAUCGCGGGGGUCAAACCCGGCGGCGCCGCAGCAAACGCGCUAAGUCUGCCACCUGGGGACUACGGCCGCAAGGUUA